RNAcentral lists this ribosomal RNA (660 nucleotides) under uncultured actinomycete. Its description in RNAcentral is "bacterial SSU rRNA". It matches the Rfam family "Bacterial small subunit ribosomal RNA", at positions 229 to 903 of the family's 1533-position model. The record is from RNAcentral. Lineage: Bacteria; Bacillati; Actinomycetota; Actinomycetes; Actinomycetales.
AUUCGCGGCCUAUCAGCUUGUUGGUAAGGUAAUGGCUUACCAAGGCUAUGACGGGUAGGGGACGUGAGAGCGUGACCCCCAACAGAGGCACUGAGACACGGGCCUCACUCCUACGGGAGGCAGCAGUCGAGAAUCUUCCACAAUGGGCGAAAGCCUGAUGGAGCGACACCGCGUGACCGAAGAAGCCCCUCGGGGUGUAAAGGUCUUUUAUUUGGGAACAAUUUUUGAGCGUACCUUAUGAAUAAGGGGCCGCCAAACUCGUGCCAGCAGCGGCGGUAAUACGAGUGCCCCAAGCGUUAUCCGGAAUUAUUGGGCGUAAAGCGUCUGUAGAGGGUUUGAUGUGUCUUUUGUUAAAUUCCAAUGCUUACCAUUGGCAAUGCAGGGGAAACUAUCAGACUAGAGGAUAUGAGAGGCUGAUGGAACUCAGAGAGUAGGGAUGAAAUCCGUUGAUACUCUGGGGAACACCAAAGGCGAAGGCAUUCAGCUGGUGUAUUCCUGACCUUGAGAGACGAAAGCGUGGGUAGCGAACGGGAUUAGAUACCCCGGUAGUCCACGCUGUAAACGAUGGGUACUAGUUGUUUGAAGUAUCGACCCUUCAAGUGACGAAGCUAACGCGUUAAGUACCCCGCCUGGGGAGUACGGAAUCGUCGACAGCAGCCA